Molecule: long non-coding RNA, 376 nt
Filed under: Chloebia gouldiae (Gouldian finch)
Lineage: Eukaryota; Metazoa; Chordata; Aves; Passeriformes; Passeridae
Description: Erythrura gouldiae (Gouldian finch) lncRNA (ENSEGOG00005019601.1)
Source: RNAcentral
GCCUGAUUGAAGAUGUCUGUGAGCAGUAAUUACUGAGGAGGAAUUGUGGCUGAGGGCUGGGCAGAAACACCUGGGGUUCAUCUGGAGCUGAGGGACAUUUGUCACCUAUUGUGGAGAAGGUCUGUCCUCCCCAAGAUACAGAUACCUUGUGCCACUUUGCAACUGAAUUUUGAAGAUGUCAGGGGCCAGGACACUCCUGUGAACUUCACUGACAGCUGGAUGGACUUGGCAGAGAGAGCCCAUCUGACAGGGAUGUGAAUGCUUGGGGGUGGUUGCAGCAGAAGGAAGAACAAGUAAGUAAAUUUGAGGGGAUAAAUGUGCAGGCCUUUUCAUGGAGCAAUUGCAAUCAGUUGUUUUAAAGUAUACCCCAGUUGUG